UGUCUCCGGUGAUCAUGAUCACACGGAUCCCAGCGUCGCGGCACAGCUGGAUGGAGCCUGUGACCUCCUUGCGGGGCGGGUCCAACAUGCCCACCACCCCCACGAACGUCAGGUCCUCGCAGUGCCAGGCCAGCCACAGUGCCACCCUGUGCCCUUCACAGAAUACAUGCUAGAGCAGCCCGGGAAGACUUGGCCGGUGAGCAGUAGACAGACAUGGACUUUCUGUCCCGGGAGAACUCCAGGGUGAAUUCCUUCUUCAUCAGCUGGCGGAUCACCUGGGAAAGAGGAGACCAGGCCCCUUAACACAGUUAAAAAGGGUUUGGAGGUCACAGUGGACCCCCAGACUAAUGCUAAGGCUGAUACCUGAAGUACAAAUGGAAAGAAUUCCAAGGCUAAUGCUGCCAUAGUGUUACAGUGACUGGUUUAAAGCACAACAGAAACAAGAUGGUCUUGUGUGGUAUGGUCCAACAGGACUCUGAGAGGUGACAGAGAUCGGCAGUCCGCACUGUUCAAGCAGGUGAGCCAUGGCCACUGAGCACUGGGAAUGAGGUCAAUGUGACUGAAAAACUGCAUUUUCAUCUUUGUUUAAUUUUAAUUAAUUCAAAUGUAAAUAAUUGCAUGUAUUGUUGGUUAGGCCUCAUACCUGGCAUGCAGAAAAAAGCACUCCUCAAAAAUGAGUGAAAGGGGGCUGGGGCUGGGGCUCAGCGGUAGAGCGGUUGCGUAGAACGUGCGAGGCCCUGGGUUUGAUCCUCAGCACCACAUAAAAAUAAAUAAGCAAAAUAAAGGUUUUGUGUCCAAC
Molecule: long non-coding RNA, 799 nt
Organism: Marmota monax (woodchuck)
Lineage: Eukaryota; Metazoa; Chordata; Mammalia; Rodentia; Sciuridae
Exons: 3
Source: RefSeq, a predicted model, not a curated record